Molecule: ribosomal RNA, 750 nt
Filed under: uncultured eukaryote
Lineage: Eukaryota
Description: SSU rRNA
Rfam family: Eukaryotic small subunit ribosomal RNA
Source: RNAcentral
GGGUGUGCACUGUCGUGUCCGGUCUACGUCUGGUUUCAAUCUAUAGUGCUCUUAACCGGGUGCUAUAGAUGCCAGAAGUUUACUCUGAAAAAAUAGAGUGCUAAAGCAGGCCGUUGUGCUUGAAUACUGUUGCAUGGAAUAAUGGAAUAGCGACCUCGGAUCUAUUUUUGUGGUUUCUCGAGCUCGAGGUAAUGAUUUAGAGGGACCAGCACGGCGGCAUUCGUAUUGCGCGUUAGAAGGUGAAAUUCUGGAUCGCGGCAAGACGAACCACAUGCGAAAGCAUUUGCCAAGGAUGUUUUUCAUUAAUCAAGAACGAAAAGUCAGAGGUUCGAAGACGAUCAGAUACCCGUCGUAGUUUCUGACCAUAAACGAUGCCAACUGGCGAUCCCGCCCGUAGUCUGGCUUAAAGGACUCGGCCGGGCAGCCUCCCGGGAACCCUAAGUCUAUGGGUUCCGGGGGAAGUAUGGUUGCAAAGCUGAAACUUAAAGGAAUUGACGGAAGGGCACCACCAGGAGUGGAGCCUGCGGCUUAAUUUGACUCAACACGGGAAAACUCACCCGGCCAGGACACCGUAAGGAUUGACAGACUGAGAGCUCUUUCUUGAUUCGGUGGGUGGUGGUGCAUGGCCGUUCUUAGUUGGUGGAGCGAUUUGUCUGGUUAAUUCCGAUAACGAACGAGACUCUAGCCUGCUAAAUAGACGGGCGAUCCCAUUGUGGGUCGACCCGAUCAGCUUCUUAGAGGGACAAGUGG